RNAcentral lists this unclassified non-coding RNA (181 nucleotides) under plant metagenome. Its description in RNAcentral is "partial contains small subunit ribosomal RNA and internal transcribed spacer 1". The record is from RNAcentral.
AAGUCGUAACAAGGUUUCCGUAGGUGACGCGAGGAUGUAAUAGAAUUAGGCUUCGCGGCCAAGUUCUCACCCUUUGUAUGCCGAAACCAUGUUGCUUUGGCAGGCCCCUGCAUUUCUCGGGCCUGCCAGAGGUUAUAAACCCUAGAAUCUCUGCUGUCUGGGUACUAUACAAUAGUUAAAA